AUUGAACGCUGGCGGCAGGCCUAACACAUGCAAGUCGAGCGGAUGAAGGGAGCUUGCUCCUGGAUUCAGCGGCGGACGGGUGAGUAAUGCCUAGGAAUCUGCCUGGUAGUGGGGGAUAACGUCCGGAAACGGGCGCUAAUACCGCAUACGUCCUGAGGGAGAAAGUGGGGGAUCUUCGGACCUCACGCUAUCAGAUGAGCCUAGGUCGGAUUAGCUAGUUGGUGGGGUAAAGGCCUACCAAGGCGACGAUCCGUAACUGGUCUGAGAGGAUGAUCAGUCACACUGGAACUGAGACACGGUCCAGACUCCUACGGGAGGCAGCAGUGGGGAAUAUUGGAUAAUGGGCGAAAGCCUGAUCCAGCCAUGCCGCGUGUGUGAAGAAGGUCUUCGGAUUGUAAAGCACUUUAAGUUGGGAGGAAGGGCAGUAAGUUAAUACCUUGCUGUUUUGACGUUACCAACAGAAUAAGCACCGGCUAACCUCGUG
Molecule: ribosomal RNA, 484 nt
Filed under: uncultured bacterium
Lineage: Bacteria
Description: partial 16S ribosomal RNA
Rfam family: Bacterial small subunit ribosomal RNA
Source: RNAcentral